AGCUCCAAUAGCGUAUAUUAAAGUUGUUGCAGUUAAAAAGCUCGUAGUUGGAUCUCGGGUACUAGCAUGUGGUACGCUUAAUUGCUGUUACUACAUGUCUGGUCCUAAUCAAUCGGUUGGCCGUUGAUGCCCUUUAUUGGGUGUUUUCGGUAGCCGGUACGUUUACUUUGAGAAAAUUAGAGUGCUUAAAGCAGGCUAUACGCCUGAAUAAUGUUGCAUGGAAUAAUAGAAUAGGACCUCGGUUCUAUUUUGUUGGUUUUGUAGAGCAUUGAGGUAAUGAUUAAUAGGGACAGACGGGGGCAUUCGUAUUGCGGUGUUAGAGGUGAAAUUCUUGGAUCGCCGCGAGACGAACAACUGCGAAAGCAUUUGCCAAGAAUGUUUUCA
RNAcentral lists this ribosomal RNA (384 nucleotides) under uncultured eukaryote. RNAcentral's name for it is "SSU rRNA". It matches the Rfam family "Eukaryotic small subunit ribosomal RNA", at positions 587 to 972 of the family's 1831-position model. The record is from RNAcentral.